CGCGGAGGGGGGGCGAUGGUGUGAGAAAAUGACGCCGCGUGGCCAGAGGACGCGGGGCCCAAUGGCGGCGGCGCUGAGGAGCGGGCCGGCGGGCGAGCGCGUGACGCUGCGCCCCGGCAACCAAUGGGAGGCCCGCCUUCCGAUGGCGGGGUGAGAGCCGCGCGGCUGAGGGUCCUCUGGUGAGAAAGAGGAGGCGGUCGCCUAGCAACGGGAAGAAGGCGCGCCACUCAGGAGCAUCAUCUCAUUGAGGCAAGGAAGGAAGGAAGGAGGCUUCUCUCAUGUCCAGGACCUGGAGCUGACAGAAGGAGCUCAUCCGCACUCUCCCCGGGUGGGAUUCGUACCUGGCAGCUUUCAGGUCAGCAACCCAACCUUCAAGUCACGAGGCUUUUAUCCUCUAGGCCACCAGAGGCUCCUUACAUCUCAGUUAACAAAGCUUCAAUUAACAGAACUUCAGCAACAUUUUGUUAACUUUUCCAUUACACUUUUUGUUAGUUUUAUAGAAUCACUAGUAGUCUCUAAGAAUUAUUGUAUGCUGCACCUCUACAUUCUACUACAGGUAUGCAAAUUCAUUGAAAUUUCAUGACUCUAGUGAGUGUUUUAGUAACUUCUGCUUCUUUAUUUGCAUUCUGAGUUAAGUUAUAUGUGCCCAUUUGCUUCAACUGUGUGUCCAAAGGCUAGGGUGGGUGCCUGUUCAGACACACAAGAAUUAUGUUUAAAAUAAUGCCCUGUUCUGGAACAGAUACAAACAUACCAAUGUUCUGUGACCUGGAGUGUUCCAUAAAGGAUCACUUCAAUUAUCAUAGUAAACCUGAGGAACCACAUUUGAGAGUAUUUUGCAUGCUGGCGCCAUAGGCCCCGUCAAAAUGCAUCAUGUUUACUCUGGAAUGAAUGUACCUAGGACAGCAGCCAAAGUUUGUCUGAAUGACGUUUGCUAUCUCCCAGGCUGUCUCUGGCAUCCCUUUCCCUUAAGACUUUACUGGCUUAGAAUUGAGUAUUGUUGUAAUACGUGCAAAUAAAGUUGUACCUUUCUGA
Molecule: long non-coding RNA, 1032 nt
Organism: Anolis carolinensis (green anole)
Lineage: Eukaryota; Metazoa; Chordata; Lepidosauria; Squamata; Anolidae
Exons: 2
Source: RefSeq, a predicted model, not a curated record